AAUAAAUUAAUCUUUCACUUUUUAGCUACGAUGUUUGAUGCUUCGUCUUAUUCAAAAUAAUUAUGAUUAAUAUUUUUGUUUUUAUUAGAUGAUAAAUCAUGAAUAGUACUUUAUGUGUGAUUAUUUUUUUUAACUUCUUAAAUUUUUUAAAUAAGACGGAUGGUCAAACGCUGAACACAGUUGAUCAAAAGUUUGCCUUAUU
RNAcentral lists this microRNA precursor (202 nucleotides) under Oryza brachyantha (malo sina). Its description in RNAcentral is "MIR812 microRNA precursor family". It matches the Rfam family "MIR812 microRNA precursor family". Lineage: Eukaryota; Viridiplantae; Streptophyta; Magnoliopsida; Poales; Poaceae. The record is from Rfam by way of RNAcentral.